RNAcentral lists this ribosomal RNA (1098 nucleotides) under uncultured bacterium. Its description in RNAcentral is "partial 16S ribosomal RNA". The record is from RNAcentral.
GCAAACGUCAUACUCACCGUGAUUCUUAUUUAUUCCUGCACGCUAACUACUCGACUCCAAAGAACGGCCAAAACAACUACUGAAUAGUAAUAUAACAUAUGUAGUCAGUACAUGUCUAUCCAUAAAUUUUGUGAGUAACAACUUCUCUUACAGUGUGGUGUGUUCGUUUAUGUUUUUUCAGCUCACUCCUACCUCGCACUCGCGCAUUCUUUCCCCUUCCCUCCCCCCCUUACUCCUCUUUUCUCACACAGAAGAAAAAACAAGCCAUCUAGAAUAGUAUUAUUAAUCACUCUACCCAUACACUCUGCCCAUAUCGCUGUUUCAAUAUUUCUGCACCUGUAUCCCUCCAUUCAUCUUUUAAAUCUCAGUUACUAAAUUAUGAUAAUAGCGCAUCCUACUUUCAUACACUUCCUCUUCCUUCAUCUUCCCCAAAUACUCAGUUUCCUCCUAACUUAUUUAUUUACAUUUAUAUCAUAUCUCCUCUACCCCACCAUUUAAACAUCGUUUCAUCCCCUUCCAACUACACCCGACCCAUGGAUAAAUCGACAUACUCUCUCAUUCUACCAUCACCUACUGUCAUUCAAGAUUUAUCCCAUAUAUAUAAUAAUGAAUCUCAAUUUAACAUAUUAUACAAUUCUCUCUUUUUUCUAUUUUAUUUCUUUUAAUCUUAGUCUCUUAUUAUUUAAACUUAUGCACACACCCUCUUGAUCAUACCUGUUCUUCUAAGUACCUAACAAUCUUGGAAUAUCACCACAAUCUUCUACCCACUGACCACCACCAACCUUCUGCCGACAUCCGUAACCACAAACAUACAUCCUUAUCUUUUACCUUCUACUGCUUGUCUUUUUCACGCUGUUACUUCUCCUCUUUUCUAUCUUUCGUUGUGUUCCUUUCCUUAUAUCUCGCCUAGACACCUCAAUNACACACCACCAUGCUCCUCCUUCCCAUUCUCUUCCUCUUACUCUACCCUCUCAUAUUCAUAUCACUCCCUACUCAUACCUCUUCACCUACUCAUACCCUCCUAUCUCACUACCCCUCCUUCGACCUUCUUUGUUUUCAUUUGGUUUUUUUCUUCUUUUAGUGACUACUUUAUACAGU